This 16-nucleotide small RNA is filed under the name Arabidopsis thaliana (thale cress). Its description in RNAcentral is "ATSL105880". The record is from RNAcentral. Lineage: Eukaryota; Viridiplantae; Streptophyta; Magnoliopsida; Brassicales; Brassicaceae.
UUUUUUCCUAUCUUCU